AGGGUCGUCCCAGGAAGGUUAAGCUAACGCAUUGACUCCUGCUAAAUGCCGAGGAAUAACCGUUUUUAACUUGGAGGAACACUAUGACGAGAAUUUGGUGAGAAGGAAUCUGUGUUCAACUCAGAUCAAAAAGGAGAAACCUGACAAAAGUAGCUGAAGGAAAUUAGGGAUUGCAAGACAUUUUACAGAGGCUUUUGUUUUUAUCUGUUGUUUUUCUUUACUAUAUUGCAAUUAUCUUUUUCAAGCGUUUUGAAUUAUGGGAGAUAGAUCUCUUUGUCGAACUUCUUAGUUAUUCUUAAAUUAAUGGAAAGCCUCUGUUUUAUUAUUUUGUUCAAAUUGUUUUACGAGUUAUAUACUUUAACAUAACAACAAUGACAUACUAAAUUUUACAAUGUUUAAGCAAAUAGUAAUAAAUUUAAUUGCAUUUUCUUUGGUACUAACGGUUUUACCAAUAGCAUACACUACAAGAAAACAUAUUUUUUACUAGGGCAGUAUUCGUUGUAAAUUCGUCGUAAACGAGGUGUUACGACGAAUUAACGUCGAAAGACGUUUCGUUGUUAAACGUCC
Molecule: long non-coding RNA, 567 nt
Filed under: Brassica napus (rape)
Lineage: Eukaryota; Viridiplantae; Streptophyta; Magnoliopsida; Brassicales; Brassicaceae
Description: long non-coding RNA (BNAP_LNC021633)
Source: RNAcentral